AAGGCCAAUCAAACCGGGAGAUAGCUGGUUCUCCCCGAAAGCUAUUUAGGUAGCGCCUCGUGAACUCAUCUUCGGGGGUAGAGCACUGUUUCGACUAGGGGGUCAUCCCGACUUACCAACUCGAUGCAAACUGCGAAUACCGAAGAAUGUUAUCACGGGAGACACACGGCGGGUGCUAACGUCCGUCGUGAAGAGGGAAACAACCCAGACCGCCAGCUAAGGUCCCAAAGUCAUGGUUAAGUGGGAAACGAAGUGGGAAGGCUCAGACAGCCAGGAUGUUGGCUUAGAAGCAGCCAUCAUUUAAAGAAAGCGUAAUAGCUCACUGGUCGAGUCGGCCCGCGCGGAAGAUGUAACGGGGCUAAACCAUGCACCGAAGCUGCGGCAGCGACACUUAGGUGUUGUUGGGUAGGGGAGCGUUCUGUAAGCCUGCGAAGGUGUACUGUGAGGUAUGCUGGAGGUAUCAGAAGUGCGAAUGCUGACAUAAGUAACGAUAAUGCGGGGGAAAAACCCGCACGCCGGAAGACCAAGGGUUCCUGUCCAACGUUAAUCGGGGCAGGGUGAGUCGACCCCUAAGGCGAGGCUGAAAAGCGUAGUCGAUGGGAAACGGGUUAAUAUUCCCGUACUGGUGGUAACUGCGAUGGGGGAACGGAGAAGGCUAGGUUGUCCGGGCGACGGUCGUCCCGGUUCAAGCAUGUAGGCAGAGUGAUUAGGCAAAUCCGGUCACUUAAUGCUGAGGUGUGAUGACGAGCCACUAAGGUGGUGAAGCAAUUGAUGCCCUGCUUCCAGGAAAAGCCUCUAAGCUUCAGGUUACCAACAAUCGUACCCCAAACCGACACAGGUGGUCAGGUAGAGAAUACUCAGGCGCUUGAGAGAACUCGGGUGAAGGAACUAGGCAAAAUGGUGCCGUACCUUCGGGCGCAGGCACGCUGGCGGUAAGUGAAGUCCCUUGCGGACGGAGCCGACGCCAGACUAAGAUACCAGCUGGCUGCAACUGUUUAUUAAAAACACAGCACUGUGCAAACACGAAAGUGGACGUAUACGGUGUGACGCCUGCCCGGUGCUGGAAGGUUAAUUGAUGGGGUUAUCCUUAGGGAGAAGCUCUUGAUCGAAGCCCCAGUAAACGGCGGCCGUAACUAUAACGGUCCUAAGGUAGCGAAAUUCCUUGUCGGGUAAGUUCCGACCUGCAC
Molecule: ribosomal RNA, 1187 nt
Filed under: Escherichia coli
Lineage: Bacteria; Pseudomonadati; Pseudomonadota; Gammaproteobacteria; Enterobacterales; Enterobacteriaceae
Description: bacterial LSU rRNA
Rfam family: Bacterial large subunit ribosomal RNA
Source: RNAcentral